AACGAACGCUGGCGGCAUGCCUAACACAUGCAAGUCGAACGAUACCUUCGGGUCUAUUGGCGCACGGGUGCGUAACGCGUGGGAACCUGCCCUUAGGAUCGGAAUAACUCCCCGAAAGGGGUGCUAAUACCGGAUCAUGUCUUCGCACCAAUGAUUUAUCGCCUUUGGAUGGGCCCGCGUUGGAUUAGCUAGUUGGUAUGGUAAAAGCCUACCGAGUAGACGAUCCAUAGCUGGUAUGAGAGGAGGAUCAGCCACAAUUGGACUACGACACGGCCCAGACUCCUACGGGAGACAGCAGAGGAGAAUAUUGGAGAAGGAAGCAGAAUGUAGGCCAGCAAUGUCGCGGAUGGGAGGAUGGCGUUAGGAUUGUAAAGCUCGUUUAGCCGAAACGAUAAUGACAGUACCGGGAGAAUAAGCGCCGGCUAACUCCGUG
This 433-nucleotide ribosomal RNA is filed under the name uncultured bacterium. Its description in RNAcentral is "partial 16S ribosomal RNA". It matches the Rfam family "Bacterial small subunit ribosomal RNA", at positions 29 to 507 of the family's 1533-position model. The record is from RNAcentral.